RNAcentral lists this ribosomal RNA (1277 nucleotides) under Bacillus siamensis. RNAcentral's name for it is "bacterial SSU rRNA". It matches the Rfam family "Bacterial small subunit ribosomal RNA", at positions 45 to 1363 of the family's 1533-position model. Lineage: Bacteria; Bacillati; Bacillota; Bacilli; Caryophanales; Bacillaceae. The record is from RNAcentral.
GGCCCUUCUAUAAAGGAGCUCGAGCGGACGAUGGGAGCUUGCUCCCUGUAUAUUAGCGGCGGACGGGUGAGUAACACGUGGGUAACCUGCCUGGAAGACUGGGAUAACUCCGGGAAACCGGGGCUAAUACCGGAUGCUUGUUUGAACCGCAUGGUUCAGACAUAAAAGGUGGCUUCGGCUACCACUUACAGAUGGACCCGCGGCUUAUUAGCUAGUUGGUGAGGUAACGGCUCACCAAGGCGACGAUGCGUAGCCGACCUGAGAGGGUGAUCGGCCACACUGGGACUGAGACACGGCCCAGACUCCUACGGGAGGCAGCAGUAGGGAAUCUUCCGCAAUGGACGAAAGUCUGACGGAGCAACGCCGCGUGAGUGAUGAAGGUUUUCGGAUCGUAAAGCUCUGUUGUUAGGGAAGAACAAGUGCCGUUCGAAUAGGGCGGCACCUUGACGGUACCUAACCAGAAAGCCACGGCUAACUACGUGCCAGCAGCCGCGGUAAUACGUAGGUGGCAAGCGUUGUCCGGAAUUAUUGGGCGUAAAGGGCUCGCAGGCGGUUUCUUAAGUCUGAUGUGAAAGCCCCCGGCUCAACCGGGGAGGGUCAUUGGAAACUGGGGAACUUGAGUGCAGAAGAGGAGAGUGGAAUUCCACGUGUAGCGGUGAAAUGCGUAGAGAUGUGGAGGAACACCAGUGGCGAAGGCGACUCUCUGGUCUGUAACUGACGCUGAGGAGCGAAAGCGUGGGGAGCGAACAGGAUUAGAUACCCUGGUAGUCCACGCCGUNAACGAUGAGUGCUAAGUGUUAGGGGGUUUCCGCCCUUAGUGCUGCAGCUAACGCAUUAAGCACUCCGCCCUGGGAGUACGGUCGCAAGACUGNAACUCAAGGAAUUGACGGGGGCCGCACAGCGGUGGAGCUGUGGUUUAUUCGAAGCACGCGAAGAACUUACAGGUCUUGACUCCUCUGACAUCCUAAAGAAGGACGUCCCUUCGGGGCAAAUGACAGUGGUGCAUGGUGUCGUCCGCUCGUGUCUGAGAGUUGGGUAAGUCCGCACCAGCGCAACCUUGAUCUAGUGGCAGCAUCAUUGGGCCUCUAAGGGACUGCCGGGACAACCGAAGAAGGUGGGAUGACUCAAUCAUCUGCCCUUUGACUGGGCUACACCUGGUACAUGGGCAGACAAGGCAGCAAACCCCGGGUUAGCCAUCCCCAAUCUUUCCAUUCGAACCAUUUGCACCCCCGCUGAACUGAACCCUAAAACCGGAACACUGCCCGGGAAACUUCCCG